AUGCACUCAGAGGCUAUGGUCUCGAUGCCUCCCCCCGGUGGCUGCUCCUUGACUUCUGAUGUGCAAUUCCUUGCACAUCCGACUCAAAGCUCGGGGGAGCAAAUUGCUUUCAACAUGGAGCGCAUGAUGGGAGGUCCGGACGAUCCUGCCAUUCUGAUUGAGUCUCAGGUUGAGGUGAGUAGUGAUGUUGGCAGGGUGACUCAGGUUGAUGUCCCAUUAUCCUUGGAGGAAUUCCUUAGUAAGGUUACUCGCAUGGUCUCACCCCCUCUGCUUGAGACCCCAAAGCCUUUGCACAAUGAGAAGGAUGAUGCCUCUCGCCUCAAGCGGCGUAGCGGACGUUUGGAAAAGAAAAACAUGGCGUGUAACAUCCCGACGACCAAAACGCGCGGAGUAUAG
RNAcentral lists this ribosomal RNA (396 nucleotides) under Triticum aestivum (bread wheat). RNAcentral's name for it is "partial small subunit ribosomal RNA". The record is from RNAcentral. Lineage: Eukaryota; Viridiplantae; Streptophyta; Magnoliopsida; Poales; Poaceae.